ACGAAGUCUUUUGGGAGCUUGCUUUUGGAAGACUUAGUGGCGGACGGGUGAGUAACACGUGAGCAACCUGCCUAAUAGAGGGGGAUAACGUCUGGAAACGGACGCUAAUACCGCAUAAAAUAAUCGGAUGGCAUCAUCUGGUUAUCAAAGGAGCAAUCCGCUAAUAGAUGGGCUCGCGCCCGAUUAGAUAGUUGGUGGGGUAAAGGCCUACCAAGUCGACGAUCGGUAGCCGGACUGAGAGGUUGAACGGCCACAUUGGGACUGAGACACGGCCCAGACUCCUACGGGAGGCAGCAGUGGGGAAUAUUGGGCAAUGGGGGAAACCCUGACCCAGCGACGCCGCGUGAGUGAAGACGGCCUUCGGGUUGUAAAGCUCUGUUUCGGGGGACGAUAAUGACGGUACCCCGGGAGGAAGCCACGGCUAACUACGUGCCAGCAGCCGCGGUAAUACGUAGGUGGCAAGCGUUGUCCGGAAUUACUGGGUGUAAAGGGAGCGUAGGCGGGGACACAAGUUGGAUGUGAAAUACCGCAGCUUAACUGCGGGGCUGCAUCCAAAACUGUGACUCUUGAGUGAAGUAGAGGCAGGCGGAAUUCCUAGUGUAGCGGUGAAAUGCGUAGAUAUUAGGAGGAACACCAGUG
Molecule: ribosomal RNA, 639 nt
Filed under: uncultured bacterium
Lineage: Bacteria
Description: bacterial SSU rRNA
Rfam family: Bacterial small subunit ribosomal RNA
Source: RNAcentral